Molecule: long non-coding RNA, 454 nt
Organism: Pogonomyrmex barbatus (red harvester ant)
Lineage: Eukaryota; Metazoa; Arthropoda; Insecta; Hymenoptera; Formicidae
Source: RefSeq, a predicted model, not a curated record
GUUGAGUGCAUUUUUUCAAAUUGUUUUCAAACAUUUCGCGUUAACGUCACAUGGCACAAAACGAUGAUUUAACAAAUCAUACAGUCAUCGAUGAUAUCAAUCAGUAACGCUGAACAAAUGAUUAGAAAUUCUAUUGUGACACGAAAUAUAUUUUUUACAAUAUUAAAUAUUCAACUAGAUUUCAAUAAACUUAUAGAACAGAAGACAUGAGCCUUAACUGUUGGCAUAACAAAUUUGUUUAAAAAGAUCAAUUGGGCCAAAAAUCAUGGAAAAAUCACCGACGAAAAUCAGAUCAUUGUUUUAAAACCCAAUGGAUCAUUGAAAUCAAUUAUCAAUUAUCAUUUUAAUAACAUCUUGAUGCAACAGGAAUGACGACAUAAAUCUUAACAUUGACAUCUUAAUAUCUUAACAGCCUGCGACUCUGGCAGAUGUUGUUACAUAAAAAGUAGAGCUA